AGAUUCAGGCUGUAUUUAGUGGGGGAGGGAUCUGGCCUCAUAUCCUUCAUCUUUAUGCUGCUCCACUCCAGCUCACAGCCCCUCCAACUGGAUGGAGCUCUUCGAAGGGAGGGGCAUUUCAGAGGAGGGUCUCAGGGAUAGCCCCUUUGUGGGGCUGGGCCACCAGGUUGGGGAGAGUGGAGCUGCUGGAACUCUGGAGGGACUGGCUGAGCCAGCUUUCCCAGUGCACCCCUCUGGGAGGGCAGGCUCUCGGUGUAGGCUGCCCAUCUCCUCGCUCUCCUCUGGCACUGCUCCUAUGCCCCCUUGGUUAGCCUGGGAGCCCAUACUACCCAGACUUGGGGUCAAUAAGCAGAGGACCUGUAAGGAGUCCUUGAUGGGAUGUACAGCACUGCCCAACCCUGCACAAGGUAGGGUAUUGCUGUUUGUUGUGUGGUGAGCUGCCUGCUUAUGGCUGGGUUUGGGCCUCCAUCCAUUUUUAUUUUCUUUGAGUUGGUCUCUGGGCAAAGCUUCUCCCAGCAGGCGGAAUCUGGCCUGGGGGCUCCAGCUUCUCUCACCUGCCUGGCCUCCCAAGAGCUAGAGAGCUCCACAUCUCAACUCAUCUAUAACUCAUUAGCAGAACCAUCAGCUAGCAGAAACUAGGAAUAAUAAAAAUGUGCCGUAUUUUCACAAGCUGGAUGCCAGGCUUGGUGGUCAGGACACAGACUGCUUUCAGCUCCCACAUGCCCCUCCUGCUAGCUGCUUUGUGCAGAGUAGUGGCUACAUGGCUGCAGGUGAGAGCCCUGCCUGUGAACAGGCCACCAGGAUGCUGGGACAUACGAGUUGCCAUUUGUAAGAGAGGAUCAUGGAAUGAAUACGGGCAUUGAGUCAAGCAGUCUGUGUUCCACUGGCGGUGUGACCUGGGGCAGGCCAUUUCACCUCACUGAGCCUUAGUUUCCUCACCUGUAAAAUGUGAAAAAUAUCACCUUCCUUACCAGGCUUUUCUGAGGAUUUAAUGACAUCAUGUUCAGUGCCCAGUAUGGGUGGAUAAUACCCAGGAGUUUCCUCCUCUUCUCCUCCUAAGUUGACUUGAUGCCCCCCGCUGAAGAUCAUGGCUGAACUGGCUCAAUUCGGAUCCAGGACUCCUGGCUUUGUCUCUUCCCUAGUUGCCCACCACACCCAUGGACACCCUUAGGUAGUUUAUCCUUUUGGGACAACUGGAUUUAUUAGAAAAGGGUAUUCUGGGGUGGAAUAAGGCCCUUUUCAGUCCCCAUGGAGCCUUUUUGGAAGAUGAAGUUCUCAAACCCACAAGAGAAUUCAUAAGACGAGCACACCACCCACAGUUAGGUUUCCCUCUCAAGUGCUUUAUCUCCACGUGGGGCAAAUAGCUCUUUGUCUGCAUAUGUUAUUGGAGCUUUUGGAGUCCAGCCUUCAGAAGAGCUCUAAUUUUUGGAUUCAUAUCAGUUUAUUAGAGAAGCCUAGUUCUAAGGAUUAGCAAAUGGGUAGGUGCUCAGCCAGCCCAGAACAAGCAGAGCCAUGACAGAAGUUUCUGGAAUCUCACAGAGUCGGUGUCUUCAUGGACUCAGGGGGCCUAAAUCCAAUAGCCUGGAUUUGUCACUUUCCCUUAUUCCCUUAUCAAACUCUUCCCUUUUGGACAUCAGAGAAGGAAAGUACUUCCUGUAAGGGGGCAAUUUGCAAAGCUUCAUGGAAGUGGCAUUUGAGUGUGGCCUUAAAGGAUGUGUAGGAUUGGGAACCAUAGAUAUUUAGAGGAAGGCAUUCCUGGCAGAAGGAACAGCAGCAAAACACAGAAGUGGAAAUUAGUAGCAGCAUUAAUGGAGAAUAAUUUGGGGAAUAAGAUAUACAAAUGGAAUAAUAAAAAUAGCAUUAAUUAAA
Long non-coding RNA from Homo sapiens (human), 1869 nucleotides. Ensembl lists it as uncharacterized. Lineage: Eukaryota; Metazoa; Chordata; Mammalia; Primates; Hominidae. The record is from Ensembl.